GUGGGGAAGAUCCCCUGGAGAAGGACAUGACAACCCACUCCAGUAUCCUUGCCUGGACAAUCCCACAGAUAGAGGAGCCUGGCGGGCUACCGUCCGUGGGGUCGCAGAGAGUCAGGCACAACAGAGAUUCUUACUCGCCGUAUCUGAAGCAGCGGCCCCAAAAUUCUGCAUUUCCCUCCCCUCCGAGGUGAUACCGGUGCUCUGGGUCCAUGGACCACAGAUUUUGAGUGGCAGGUGCAUUGAAACGAAAUCUCCUGGAUUGAGAACCUAGCCCUGGAUUUGUUAUUCAGAUCCCCAGGUCACGUUACCAUGUAGUCAGGGUUGCAAAACAAGAGACUGCAGCUUCCGUGGUGUCUCAGCAGUAACGAAGCCGCCCGCCAAUGCAGGAGACACGGGCUCGAUCCCUGGUCCGGGAAGAUUCCCACGUGCCAUGGGGCAACGAAUCCCGGAAGCCGCAGCUACUGAAACCCUCGCGCCCUAGGAGGCCACAGUGCUCCACAAGAGAAGCCACCGCCGUGAGGAGUCCACACACCGCAACCAGAGAAGACCAAGGGCGGAAGAGCAGGCCACACAGAACUGAAGCCGCCUGAUCUCUCUGCAGCUAAAUGGCGCUGGGCUCAAAAAGGCAGGGCCGUCCAAAAACUCUGUCCUUCCGGAAAGAAGUGACUUCUUGUCCACGGCUGCCAGCGCUGCAGCAGAACGUGAAGAAACGGGUUUGCACAGGCUGUCUUGCGGAGAAACUACACAUGGAGAAAGGUCCUUUGAUUCUUUGAAAAGGAAGGCAACUUGGAUCCACCAUAGCUUUCUGGUUACAUCCUGAAAUGAUGGGUUCCUGUUGUUCCAUUUUCUCAAAUGCUUCCACGGUGGUGUAUGUUAGUGACUCUUGGAAGACGCAGCAGAUGAAAAAAGGCUGUAGCAACAGUCACAUGAAAGUUGCAAGCCUACUCCUGCAAAAGUUUCUAUUCUAAUCCCCUGCAAGAUGGGGGAGAGCCAGGUGGUUUCAUCUCUGUCACAGAGGGAUUUUCUUUUUCACUGACACAACCAACCAUUGAAAUCAAUCAUCUUCUAGCACAAGGCGUCCUUUGAAGGUGGGACAAGCUUUGUUGGUUUCCCAGUGUUGUGAUGGUGAAUUUUUCUCGACAGUCCCUUUGGGGGUAGAGAGCAAAUUUGGCAGGUGCUGCCCAUACAUUAAUUAAUAUGUGAGUUCAUUCACUGCAAAUCAAUAAAUGAAUGCAUUCAGGGCAAAGAGGAGUACCUGCCAAUGUUAUCCAUCUCAAGGGUUUUAACAACUGUGUUUACCUUGGCAACAAACUGCAAUUAUUUUUCUGGGGAAAUUUUUGUUCCUUAAAGAGAUAAUUUCCAGACUCUUUCCAUGCAAGCUUUUUUUUUUUUUUAACUUUGUUGAGUCUUCAUUGCCAGUCGUGGUGAGCGGGGGCUACUCUCCAGCUGGGGUUGGCAGGCUUAUCAUUGCUGUGGUUUCUCUCGUUGUGGAGCAGAGGGUCUAGGUACUCCUCUUGUCAGGACCCCAGUCCUAUGGGAUCAGGGCCCACCCCAGUGACCUCAUUCCACCUUCAUCCCCGCUUCGAAGACUCUCAUCUCCUAAUACAGCCUCAUUCUCAGGCCCUGAGGGUCAGAGCUUCAAGGUAAGGAUUUUGCAGGGGACAGAAUUCAGCCCACAGUAAGCUUCUUCUCUAUAAACAUUAUGGUCCUUGGCCCAUUUAUUUUUUUAAACAAUUUUUGGCUGCACCAAAGGGAUCUUGACUUCUCUGGUGGUUCAGUGGUUAAAAAAAAAAAAAAAAGAAUCCGCCUGCCAAUGCAGGAGAUGC
Cervus elaphus (red deer) is the source of this 1826-nucleotide long non-coding RNA. RefSeq lists it as uncharacterized. The transcript is spliced from 3 exons. NCBI's taxonomy places the organism in Eukaryota, Metazoa, Chordata, Mammalia, Artiodactyla, Cervidae. The record is from RefSeq and is a predicted model, not a curated record.